This is a non-coding RNA of Cinara cedri, 552 nucleotides long. The record is from the annotation of a GenBank genome assembly. Lineage: Eukaryota; Metazoa; Arthropoda; Insecta; Hemiptera; Aphididae.
CCAACAUACAAAUUAUACAAAUCAAUACUAACAGAAUACGGUACAACUUGCUUUAUAUAUUAUUUAUAUAAUAUUUUCAUGAGAAUAUGUACAAUACCACAAAAGAGGGUUCAAUUGGACCAUGGACAUGGAUAAUGGAUAAUAAACAUGGACAAUGUGUUAGAAGGGUUCACCAAUAAAUUAAAAGGUAUUAUAAGAAUAAGACAUCUUAAUAUAUAUAUACCUAUAUAUUUAUUGAAUCUUUGCAGAUAUACAAUGCAUUUACAGAGACUGCUGAUACAAAAAAAUAAAUAGUAUUAAAGAAAAGAAAAAAUAUUUAUAUUGUACAGGAUUUAAAUAAAAUAAUGAUGACAAUAUUUUAAAUUAUUUAUAACACAUGACAGUACACCAUUUAAGUUUUAUUGAAUAUUAUUUUGAUUAAUUAUUUGUUAUUAAAUUUUAGGGUAUUAUUGUUAUCGUAACUAAUUAAUAAUAAGUAUGUACCUAUUAAUGUUUAUAAGUCUUACAAUACUAAUAUCAAUAAUAAAAUAAUCAUUACUGAUAUCAAUUUCC